This 1268-nucleotide ribosomal RNA is filed under the name Theonella swinhoei. RNAcentral describes it as "eukaryotic LSU rRNA". It matches the Rfam family "Eukaryotic large subunit ribosomal RNA", at positions 668 to 1884 of the family's 3401-position model. The record is from RNAcentral. Lineage: Eukaryota; Metazoa; Porifera; Demospongiae; Tetractinellida; Theonellidae.
AAGGAGUGCAGCAGUUGCGCGAGUAGUUCGGGUGUGGAAACCCGGCGAUGCACAAUGAAGGUGAAGGUGGGACGUGUGGCCCGCCGAGGCGAGAGCCGCUAGCGCGGCGCAUCGUCGACCGAUCCGUUGCCACGCCGUGGCGGGAUUCGAGUGAGAGCGUUGCUGUUGCGACCCGAAAGAUGGUGAACUAUGCCCGAGUAGGGCGAAGCCAGAGGAAACUCUGGUGGAAGCCCGUAGCGGUUCUGACGUGCAAAUCGAUCGUCAAACUUGGGUAUAGGGGCGAAAGACUAAUCGAACCAUCUAGUAGCUGGUUCCCUCCGAAGUUUCCCUCAGGAUAGCUGGAGCCCGUUGCGCAGUUUUAUCAGGUAAAGCGAAUGAUUAGAGGUCUUGGGGUCGAAACGACCUCAACCUAUUCUCAAACUUUAAAUGGGUAAGACGUCCGGCUUGCUCGAGCGAAGUCGGGCCACGAAUGCCGGGGCUCCCAGUGGGCCAUUUUUGGUAAGCAGAACUGGCGAUGCGGGAUGAACCGAACGCCGGGUUAAGGUGCCCGAAUCGACGCUCAUCAGAUCCCACGAAAGGUGUUGGUUGAUCUAGACAGCAGGACGGUGGCCAUGGAAGUCGGAAUCCGCUAAGGAGUGUGUAACAACUCACCUGCCGAAUCAACUAGCCCUGAAAAUGGAUGGCGCUGAAGCGUCGUACCCAGACCCGGCCGUCGGGCCGCGCGGUACGGUCCGACGAGUAGGAGGGCGCGGCGGUGGCGGUGCAGCUUCGGGCGCGAGCCCGGGUGAAGCCUCCGCCGGUGCAGAUCUUGGUGGUAGUAGCAACUAUUCAAACGAGAUCUUUGAAGACUGAAGUGGAGUAGGGUUCCAUGUGACCAGCACUUGGACAUGGGUUAGUCGAUCCUAAGGGGAGGGAGAGUUCCCCGUGGAAGGUGCAAUCGCCUCUCGGCGACCGCACCGUUUUCCCCGAAAGGGAGUCGGGUCAACAUUCCCGAACCGGGAUGCGGGUAGGCCCUCGCGGCCACGGCGGCAACGCAAGCGAACUCGGAGACGUCGGCGGGAGCCCCGGGAAGAGUUCUCUUUUCUUCUUAACGGGCCCGUCCCCUGGAAUCAGGUUGGCUGGAGAUAGGGCGUUGCGCCCGGUAAAGCGUCACACUUGUGGUGGCGUCCGGUGCGCUCCCGACGGCCCGUGAAAAUCCGAGGGAGCGUCUGAUCCUCGCGCCCGGUCGUACCGAUAUCCGCAUCAGGUCUCCAAGGUGAACAGCCUCU